AUGUAUAAAUCAAAUCUAAAACUAUCAUACAAGAUCUAUGAUAUGAACUAAUAUGUAUGUAUGUAAAUCUGAAAUCUAAAAUUCAGUAAGUAUAGAUCAUAUCUAUAUGUAAUUAGAUCACAUCUAAAUUAUAUUUAGAUCAUAUCUAAAUAUAAAUUAAGUUUAAAACUUCAUAUUUGAGCAUGGAUAGCAGAUCACUGCAUUCAAAAUUCAUGAUAGUUGAUUCUUCAUG
Molecule: long non-coding RNA, 232 nt
Filed under: Elaeis guineensis (African oil palm)
Lineage: Eukaryota; Viridiplantae; Streptophyta; Magnoliopsida; Arecales; Arecaceae
Description: long non-coding RNA (EGUI_LNC063883)
Source: RNAcentral